Molecule: ribosomal RNA, 481 nt
Filed under: uncultured bacterium
Lineage: Bacteria
Description: SSU rRNA
Rfam family: Bacterial small subunit ribosomal RNA
Source: RNAcentral
AGGACGAACGCUGGCGGCGUGCUUAACACAUGCAAGUCGAACGGUAAGGCCCUUCGGGGUACACGAGUGGCGAACGGGUGAGUAACACGUGGGUGAUCUGCCCUGCACUUCGGGAUAAGCUUGGGAAACUGGGUCUAAUACCGGAUAUGACUACGAAUCGCAUGGUUUGUGGUGGAAAGCUUUUGCGGUGUGGGAUGGGCCCGCGGCCUAUCAGCUUGUUGGUGGGGUGAUGGCCUACCAAGGCGACGACGGGUAGCCGGCCUGAGAGGGUGUCCGGCCACACUGGGACUGAGAUACGGCCCAGACUCCUACGGGAGGCAGCAGUGGGGAAUAUUGCACAAUGGGCGCAAGCCUGAUGCAGCGACGCCGCGUGAGGGAUGACGGCCUUCGGGUUGUAAACCGUCUUUCAGUAUCGACGAAGCGCAAGUGACGGUAGGUACAGAAGAAGGACCGGCCAACUACGCGCCAGCAGCCGCGGUAA